Fukomys damarensis (Damara mole-rat) is the source of this 2100-nucleotide long non-coding RNA. RefSeq lists it as uncharacterized. Lineage: Eukaryota; Metazoa; Chordata; Mammalia; Rodentia; Bathyergidae. The transcript is spliced from 2 exons. The record is from RefSeq and is a predicted model, not a curated record.
GUAGCCCAGGCUGGUCUCGAACUCCCAUUGAUCCUCCUGCCUUAGCCUCCCUGAGUGCUGGGAUUACAGGCGUGCACGACAAUGCCCAGCUACUAUACUUUUGGAUGGAGGAAAUUUGGAGCACAAAGAUAAAAUAAUUUGAUUCAUUUCUACUGCCAAUUAUAAUCAAUUCUAAUUCUUGGUGUUCCUAAUGAGGCUUAGAAUUUACUAAUCCUAAAAGAAGCAAUAAAUGUUGAAUAAUUUUAAUAAAAGUAUGGGAUAUAUGUUCUUCAGGUGUCUAUUAUCCUCCUUAUCCCAGCCCUCUUAGAAGUAUGGACUACUAGUAAAGGUAUAACUAGUGAUUUUUUUAUGGAUCUCCAAAUUAUCUGAGAGAAAAUUGAGUUUUACAAAGGUUAAAUAGCAUAUUUAAGGCCAUACAAAUGGUACAGGGAAGAGGUAGGAUUUCAACAUCAGACCCUAAAAUUCACUCUGACAACCUCACCCUUGUCUUUGGUUUUGAUACAAAAGCACUGAAGCACUUAUAUCUUAGGGCACACAUUGUGCUAGGUUCCUCCUUCAAGUCUCCUUCUGCUUUGUCUCUCUCUGUUAUUCCCCUCUGAAAACCUUGAUUUAGAAUACAGUGCCUGGCAUGCAGAAGAAUGGGAUGAGGUCUUCCUGGUGCUCUGGGUGUAGUAGUAGGGGGAAGAGUAAAUCUUAUAAUUUUGGAUAUUGGCUUGUUCCCAAUUGUUGAGAAUUAUCAGUCAGACUCUUUAAAUAAAGUGAUUCCAUUAGAUUAUACUGGUUCCUAGUUUUCAGCUUCCCUCUGUCUCCUUUUCUGUUUCUCUGCUCUAACACACCUCAGCAGCCAGGGCUUAUCAUCUUUGCCUAUGAUGUCUUGGCCUCCUACUCCAGUCUUUCCUAGUUUAUUCCAGCCCAUCAAAGAGGGUGAAUCCAGACUCCAGACUUUACUCUUCCCAGGCCACCUCAUCAUCCCUUAAGUCCUCACAGCAGCAGGGAUUCUCUUUCUGAGAUAUUUACAUACCAAGAAAGGAAAGUAGAUCAUCCUGAAGGACAUUGGAGAGAACCUGGGGCAGAAUAUGAGAGGAGGUAGGUCACCUCUUCCCAGCUGAGCUCUAGAAAUCCCAAUUAUGGAGGCAUCAAAGAUGAGAGCAGGCACUGAUGGGAAAGCUGUGCUUCCUAGAUUUGAUGUGCUGGUCCACUGGGUGUCCUGUAUAAUGUAGAUUUGGCUUCAGGAUUAGGCCUAGUCUUGCAGUUUGAGUGUUGAGGAAUUAGAAGGCGUUGAAAUUUCUGGCUCAGGUAUCUCUUCCUCACCUUUCAGGUCUCAGGAGCAAUAGGCUACAACAUUUUCUUUCUGCUAGUGACAAAGGAAGGGCUUGAGUGGGACAUCUUCCUGAAUAAGGCCAAUGUAGUUUAUGUUGCAAAGAAAGCCUGAGAGAGCUCUGGAGCUUCCAUGAAACUGAGUGGAGGAUGAAGAGAAAGACUGUUCCACUGAUAAGUAAAAUAUAGAGAUCCCUCUGUAUGCAGGGGAAUUGGGUUCAGGGUACCUGUUACUCUCCUACUUGAAGAUCCCAAGGUCUAAGGAUGUGCAAAUCCCCUAUAUAAAAUGGAAUAGCAUUUGUAUGUAAUCCUUGGAUAUCCUCCUGUAGAUUUUAAUCAACUUCAGAUUACUUUAAUACCUAUUAGAGUGUAAAUGCUCCAUAAAUAAUUUCUGUACUAUGUUGUUCAGGUCCAUGUUCGGGGUUAUUUUCCAUGUAGAGUUGGUGGAACCCAGUGUUGUGGAACCCAUGAAAACAGAAGGAUGACUGUGCACAUAGAAUCUGCCUAUGUUCUUAACUUGGGUAGUUAAUGAGGAUAUAAGCAGAGCCAUCCAUGCAGCCUAAAGAGAAGCUUGUCUCUGACUCAUUCACACAUAGAAAAUGUGGAGUCAGUUCCUGGUAUCAUGAUGACUUACAUGUAAACUGCUCUUCCAAGCUCAAAAACAAAACAAAACAAACAAACAAACAGAAAGUGACUUUGCCAAUUACCUAAGCUAAUUAACCUGUAUGAUUUUUCUCAAGAAUGGUUAUCAGUCAAUCAAGGGCUAUCAAAUAUCUGGCAAAA